Paramuricea clavata is the source of this 1037-nucleotide non-coding RNA. The record is from the annotation of a GenBank genome assembly. NCBI's taxonomy places the organism in Eukaryota, Metazoa, Cnidaria, Anthozoa, Malacalcyonacea, Plexauridae.
GUCAAUUAAACCACAGCGUAAGUCAAAUCAUUUUGUCAAUCUUUCAUAUAAUAAAGAUAUUAUGCUUUAAUUGGUGUUGAAUGAAUAAAGGAAAAACACAUAAAUUACGCAUAGAGGUCACUUGAGACGUGUCAUAAUGAACGAACUGUGAAGUGCGCGCUCAAUGUCAUGUAUAUAUACUGGUUGCCCAGGCGCCAGGUUGGUUACUACCGCAAUUCUUUUUUAUCCACAGUAAGAACUGAGAUUGAUAAAUCAAAACCAAAUAUCAGAUCAAGAUUCAUUGAGGCGCGCUUAUUACAAAUAUACACUAUUAUAUUUAACAUUAGUUCAACAUGAAUGAAUUCUAAUUUGUCAUAAUUUUAGUCUCAAAAUCAUGUCCUCACUCUGUAGGGAAAUUUGUGAAUCGGCAAGGAUAGUAACGUACAAACCCAUGUACAAAACCAUGCAUGCGCCUUGAGCUUGAUCGACUUCCGGUUUGUAUCUUUGUUUCGUGGAAUGAGAUUGUGAUUUAUGAGGACACCGUCCUGCCACGAUGGUGGUAGUACCCGCUUACUAUAAUGUGUAGCCUUUGUACAUAGUUCUUAUAUCAUUGUUCUUAACUUCUUACAGGAACCUGCAAGUAUAAACCUAUGGAUAAUCCCACCAGGUGCCACUCACAUUAGAAAUUCAUUCUUAUGGACUACAUGUCAAUCUUUCUCAUCUGAUCUAAGUCGACCAUAUCUACUUUUCCUCUAUCUGUAAAGGAGUGAAUAACGUAAUUGAAAUACUUUCUAUGCUUGUUUAAUGUUGUGAGUUGGGUAGCAGCUUUAUAACCGAAAUAAGUAAGAACACAUGCACAUAUUUUAUUCUCAUUCAAAUAUUUCGGAACUCCACCAGAUCGGGGAAGAGAGUCUGGGAACGAGGUUGUAUUGUUCAUUCGUUUCUGGUGAAUAGUACGUUUCUUCGGUUUAAUAUGUCACGAGUUUAGUUUGGAAAUUACUUGUCGUAUAAUAACGUUAUUAUAUGUUUACUAUGGCUACCUAUUUACUAAUUUAGCA